RNAcentral lists this ribosomal RNA (422 nucleotides) under uncultured prokaryote. RNAcentral describes it as "bacterial SSU rRNA". It matches the Rfam family "Bacterial small subunit ribosomal RNA", at positions 355 to 774 of the family's 1533-position model. The record is from RNAcentral.
UGAGGAAUAUUGGUCAAUGGGCGCAAGCCUGAACCAGCCAUCCCGCGUGCAGGAAGAAGGCCCUAUGGGUUGUAAACUGCUUUUCCAGGGGGAGAAUUUUUCUGUCGUGACAGGAAUUGACGGUACCCUGGGAAUAAGCAUCGGAUAACUCCGUGCCAGCAGCCGCGGUAAUACGGAGGAUGCGGGAGGUAUCAGGAUCUAUUGGGUUGAAAGGGUGCGUAGGCGGAUAGAUAAGUCAGUGGUGAAAACCUGCAGCUUAACUGUAGACUUGCCGUUGAUACUGUCAGUCUUGAGUAUGGUCAAGGUAGGCGGAAUGUGUAAUGUAGCUGUGAAAUGCUUAGAUAUUACACAGAACACCGAUUGCGAAGGCAGCUUGCUGGGCCAUUACUGACGCUGAUGCACGAAAGCGUGGGGAUCGAACA